UACGUAGGGGGCUAGCGUUGUCCGGAAUCAUUGGGCGUAAAGAGCGUGUAGGCUGCUCGGUAAGUCCGCUGUAAAAGUCAAAGGCUCAACCUUUGAAUGUCAGUAGAUACUGCCGGGCUAGAGUCCGGAAGAGGCGAGUGGAGUGGUGAAAUGCGUAGAGAUCCGGAGGAACACCAAAGGCGAAGGCAGUGUCCUGGGGAGUACCUGACGCUCAGGUGCGAAAGCCAGGGGAGCGAACGGG
RNAcentral lists this ribosomal RNA (241 nucleotides) under uncultured bacterium. RNAcentral describes it as "partial 16S ribosomal RNA". It matches the Rfam family "Bacterial small subunit ribosomal RNA", at positions 524 to 776 of the family's 1533-position model. The record is from RNAcentral.